This 140-nucleotide non-coding RNA is filed under the name pig gut metagenome. RNAcentral describes it as "Lysine riboswitch". It matches the Rfam family "Lysine riboswitch aptamer", at positions 4 to 153 of the family's 182-position model. From Rfam's summary of the family: Riboswitches are metabolite binding domains within certain messenger RNAs that serve as precision sensors for their corresponding targets. Allosteric rearrangement of mRNA structure is mediated by ligand binding, and this results in modulation of gene expression. This family includes riboswitches that sense lysine in a number of genes involved in lysine metabolism, including lysC. The record is from RNAcentral.
AUUGAUAGAGGCGCAAUAAAGAUUAGUAACUAAGUGAAGAGACAUCUGGUGAUCUUAGUGAAAGGUGAUAUUGCCGAAACGACAAACUGGUAAGUUUGUUAGUUGGGAUAUAAGAGAAUAUCUUAUAUACUCCUACAUAA